This 250-nucleotide ribosomal RNA is filed under the name uncultured prokaryote. RNAcentral's name for it is "partial 16S rRNA". It matches the Rfam family "Bacterial small subunit ribosomal RNA", at positions 525 to 775 of the family's 1533-position model. The record is from RNAcentral.
ACGUAGGGGGCAAGCGUUAUUCGGAAUUAUUGGGCGUAAAGAGUGCGUAGGUGGUUUUUUAAGCGUGAGGUGAAAUGCAAUAGCUUAACUAGUGUAAGCCUUGGGAACUGGAAGACUUGAGUUCCGGAGAGGAAAGUGGAAUUCCUAGUGUAGCGGUGAAAUGCGUAGAUAUCAGGAGGAACACCAGUGGCGAAGGCGGCUUUCUGGACUGAAACUGACGCUGAGGAACGAAAGCGUGGGUAGCAAACAG